Molecule: ribosomal RNA, 520 nt
Filed under: uncultured Glomus
Lineage: Eukaryota; Fungi; Glomeromycota; Glomeromycetes; Glomerales; Glomeraceae
Description: SSU rRNA
Rfam family: Eukaryotic small subunit ribosomal RNA
Source: RNAcentral
CGCAGCCGCGGUAAUUCCAGCUCCAAUAGCGUAUAUUAAAGUUGUUGCAGUUAAAAAGCUCGUAGUUGAAUUUCGGGAUCAAUAUGUUGGUCGUGCCUCGGUACGUACUAGCUUAUUGGUUUCUCCUUUCUAAAGAACCAUGAUGUCAUUUAUUUGGUGUCGUGUGGAAUCAGGACUGUUACUUUGAAAAAAUUAGAGUGUUUAAAGCAGGCUCACGCUUGAAUACAUUAGCAUGGAAUAAUGAAAUAGGACGUUUGAUUCUAUUUUGUUGGUUUCUAGGAUCGACGUAAUGAUUAAUAGGGAUAGUUGGGGGCAUUAGUAUUCAAUUGUCAGAGGUGAAAUUCUUGGAUUUAUUGAAGACUAACUACUGCGAAAGCAUUUGCCAAGGAUGUUUUCAUUAAUCAAGGACGAAAGUUAGGGGAUCGAAGACGAUCAGAUACCGUCGUAGUCUUAACCAUAAACUAUGCCGACUAGGGAUCGGAUGAUGUUAAUUUUUAAUGACUCAUUCGGCGCCUUAACC